This 635-nucleotide long non-coding RNA is filed under the name Gossypium barbadense (sea-island cotton). RNAcentral describes it as "long non-coding RNA (GBAR_LNC000928)". Lineage: Eukaryota; Viridiplantae; Streptophyta; Magnoliopsida; Malvales; Malvaceae. The record is from RNAcentral.
GGUAGUUCAAAACUUAUUGAAGGCUCCGGAAGAGCAAUUUAUUUAUUACUCUGUAGCUGGCCCAUUUUGCCCGGGGCCCAAAACCAGAAACAUAACCCAAAAACAAUUAAAACCAAAAUAAACUAAACAGUCCACAAUAUAUUAACGGCUCAAACACGACAAAAAUAUAGGCCCAAAAAUAAAAACUCUAACCCAAUUUCUUUAGCCCACAACCUUAACUUUCAGAAAAGAAAAAAAGGAGAAAAAGAAACCCUAGCCGUAUGCCUCUGCCACUACCGCCGUACGCCUCUGACAUCUCUGCCACCUGUAAAGAGGAACCAGCACGCAACGCCUGCAAAAUGAAAAGGAAAAAGUUGACAACAUAAAACAGUAGCAAAUAGUACAAAACAUAAUAAUAAUAAUAAUAAUAAUAAUAUAUUGUAUCAAUUUCAACUAUAAAAAGCCAUCACCAAGUCAAUGUAAUUCUUUACACACAAAAUCGAAUAAAAAAGAUCAGUAAGAUUUAAAAGAAAAGAACUAGGUAUUUUCCUUGGUUUCAAAUUCCAUUUUAUUUUUUAUUUUCGCAAAAUAUAUAUAUACUAAGAAAAAAGGGCCUUUACCUCUGUUCUAGCUAUUCAUCCUUCUGUUUUGAAAGC